RNAcentral lists this ribosomal RNA (1906 nucleotides) under human gut metagenome. RNAcentral's name for it is "bacterial LSU rRNA". It matches the Rfam family "Bacterial large subunit ribosomal RNA", at positions 3 to 1999 of the family's 2925-position model. The record is from RNAcentral.
UUAAGCUAAUAAGAGCGCAGGGAGGAUGCCUUGGCAUCAGGAGCCGAUGAAGGACGCGGUAAGCUGCGAAAAGCUCCGGGGAGUGGCAAGCACACAUUGAUCCGGAGAUGUCCGAAUGGAGCAAUCCACAUGAGUGAAGCUCAUGUAUCAUAUACUGAAUAAAUAGGUAUAUGAGGGGAACCGUCUGAACUGAAACAUCUAAGUAGGACGAGGAAAAGAAAUCAACCGAGAUUCCGCUAGUAGUGGCGAGCGAACGCGGAAGAGGCUAAACCAGAGUCAGCAAUGACUUUGGGGUUUGGACUGCAUUUAGUAUCAAUGAGGUCUAGUCGAAGUACAUGGGAAGGUACAUCGAAGAGGGUGAGAAUCCCGUAGACGAAAGAUCAAGUUGGCGAGCAGUAUCCAGAGUACCGCCGGACACGUGAAACCCGGUGGGAACAUGGGGGGACCAUCCUCCAAGCCUAAAUACUACCUGAUGACCGAUAGCGCAUAGUACUGUGAAGGAAAGGUGAAAAGAACCCCGGGAGGGGAGUGAAAGAGAGCCUGAAACCCUGUGCUUACAAGCACACAGAGCACGUCAAAGUGUGAUGUGGUACCUAUUGUAGAAUGGUCCGGCGAGUUAUUUUAUGCAGCGAGGUUAAGGACUUAAGGUCUGUAGCCGAAGUGAAAGCGAGUGUUAAUAGCACGAAACAGUUGCAUGCAAUAGACCCGAAACCGGGUGACCUAUCCAUGUCCAGGCUGAAGUGAGGGUAAAACCUCAUGGAGGGCCGAACCGACUCCCGUUGAAAUGGUAGCGGAUGAGGUGUGGAUAGCGGAGAAAUUCCAAUCGAACCCGGAUAUAGCUGGUUCUCCCCGAAACCGUUUUAGGACGGGCCUCGUGUGAAGAUUAUCGGAGGUAAAGCACUGAAUAGCCUAGGGGGCGAGAGCCUACCGAAGCUUAUCAAACUCUGAAUGCCGAAUAAUCGUUUCACGGGAGUCAGACUGUGUGAGAUAAGUUUCAUAGUCAAAAGGGAAACAGCCCAGACCCACAGCUAAGGUCCCAAAGUGUAUUUAAGUGGAAAACGAUGUGAAGUUGCGUAGACAACCAGGAUGUUGGCUUAGAAGCAGCCACUCAUUAAAAGAGUGCGUAAUAGCUCACUGGUCGAGUGACUUUGCGCGGAAAAUUUAACGGGGCUAAAAUACACACCGAAGCUUGGGCUUGACGCUUUUGCGUCAGGGGUAGGGGAGCGUCGUGUAAGGGGCGAAGUCGUAUCGUAAGGGACGGUGGACUUUACACGAGUGAGAAUGCCGGAAUGAGUAGCGAGAAUUAUGUGAGAAUCAUAAUGGUCGAAAGCCUAAGGUUUUUGGAGGAAGGUUCGUCCGCUCCAAGUAAGCCGGGAGCUAAGGUCAGGCGGAAACGCGUAGCCGAUGCACAUACGGUUGAAAUUCCGUAGCCUCAGAAAGAUUUAAGCAGAGGGACACUUUGAAAGGACUGUAGCCGGGUGUUGGUUACCCCGGUCGUAAGGGAACGAAAUUAAGUAGUGAAGGCAGUCUGGACGGAGGCGAGAAAAGCUCUGUGUAUAUCUAAUGAGCCCGUACCGCAAACCGACACAGGUAGGUGGGAUGAGAAUUCUAAGACCAACGGGAGAAGGGUAGUUAAGGAACUCGGCAAAUUGUCCCCGUAACUUCGGAAUAAGGGGAGCCUGCGAAAGCAGGCCGCAGAGAAUUGGCCCAGGCGACUGUUUAUCAAAAACACAGCUCUAUGCUAAAUCGAAAGAUGACGUAUAUGGGGUGACACCUGCCCGGUGCUGGAAGGUUAAGAGGAGAUGUGAGAGCAUCGAAUUGAAGCCCCAGUAAACGGCGGCCGUAACUAUAACGGUCCUAAGGUAGCGAAAUUCCUUGUCAGGUAAGUUCUGACCCGCACGAAUGG